Molecule: long non-coding RNA, 361 nt
Filed under: Physcomitrium patens
Lineage: Eukaryota; Viridiplantae; Streptophyta; Bryopsida; Funariales; Funariaceae
Description: long non-coding RNA (PPAT_LNC014361)
Source: RNAcentral
UUGGUUCCUUGGAAUUCUCGCCUCUUAAAAGAGCUUUUAAUGGAAAGAACGUUUUCCAAAACUGUGUAGAGAAUGGUACAGCUCGACAAGAAAUCGAAGCCUCCAUAAUUGGUACCUCAUUGGGGUGCACAACCGAUUCAAGUUUUAUACUGAGUAAAGGGCCCAUGUAAGGACCUGAAUUAGAUGUCCCCAUAAUUGGAUUGAAUUGGCCCUUCGCUUCAAGAUCAUUCAAAUGUUGAAUUGGUCCUUUCCCCUUUUGCUGACUUCUUGUAUAGAUAGCUUAGACUACUUCUACCCAAUGAACUAGUGAAUCUUGAGGACCUUGAUUUAUCUCCUCUAUUUUUCCUUAGCUUUGGAUCUG